AGUCGUAUGGUCUAAUGGUUAUGAUUUCUCGUUCACAAUUGCAUGUGUACCCAAACCCGAGAAGGUUCCGUGUUCGAUCCACGGUACGACUA
Molecule: transfer RNA, 92 nt
Filed under: Xylaria intraflava
Lineage: Eukaryota; Fungi; Ascomycota; Sordariomycetes; Xylariales; Xylariaceae
Description: tRNA-Val
Source: RNAcentral